This 1197-nucleotide small RNA is filed under the name Histoplasma ohiense. Its description in RNAcentral is "hypothetical lncRNA". Lineage: Eukaryota; Fungi; Ascomycota; Eurotiomycetes; Onygenales; Ajellomycetaceae. The record is from RNAcentral.
CCACUGAUUCGAUUCGCCGAACUUGCUCCGCUCCCACCUCACGACCUCUAUCCCCUCCACUAAGUCCUGAUCCAACUGUCCUAGUUUCUCUGCAUCCCGUUGGGAGCAGACAGGCUUCGGUCGGGCUUUCCCUGCAUGAAUACCGUAAAACCCUCUCCCGUCCGCAUCUGGAUGAGGCCUCUGUUUCCGGCCCGCGAAAAACAUUGAGAAGGAAGCCUAAAGCUUUGAACCUCAAUCUUGUUCGAUCCCCUACAGCUCCACCUUCUCCCCCUCCCAGCCCUGCAUCAUCAGUAUCUCCAAUAUAUCCCCUAGACUCAGUAAGGUCAUCGCGAUCCGGCCAAGAUGAAGGAAGUUUUCAUGAAUAUAUUCCCCACCACAUGCUAGGGGAGGCUACGUCAUUAUCACACAUCAUUCAUCCAUUCACUGCUGCUCUUAACACUUCAUCUCAGCAACCCCCCCCUCUGGCGAAUUCUUCUCCUUCACCUCCACCCCGCACUCCUGCUGCUAGUAUAGCGAGCGCAAGCACCGGAAUCAGGAAAUUGAACGCGUUCAGGCACCGCUUAAAACAGAUUCCCGUCAGGAUCAUGUCUCAUCACAAAAGUUCUUCGGAUUCUGCUCUAUUCCAACGGCCAGAUUGCUCAAACACUAAGCUUCGCCACAAGGGCGUUUCAUUUGAGAUACUCAACCCGCCUAAGUCACCUAGAUUUCCCGUAUCUUCCAAGCCUCUUGCAUUACAGAAGGGGCUCUCAGCACCCGCCCCUUUUUUCGACCCAAUGUCUUCUCAGUUUUUCAACCAAGGCACCCCAACCAGAGAAAUUCGUCGGGAACAACAACAAACCCCCCUGGAAUACGGGAGUCAAUCUAGGAAAGAGAGAGAGGAGUGUCGACCCAUAUCUCCACUGGCUUUGUUCGAGGACCUUCCGACAGCCCAUUCAUCCAUUACUUCGCGCAUAACGAACCAAAGAAACAACCUCUUUCUCCUGUCUCCACACACAGAUCACUCCAUAAAUGAUCUGAAUAUGGAGGCUCCAUUGGACAUGACCGCUGACAGAUCCCCUGUCACUCGUCCCCCCAAUUGUUCUGGUCUGCUUGCGUCCUAUUUCGGUGAGGGCUUCACCUCAGACCUUGUUGUUUCUAACGAAUGUAAUCCUGUUUUGACAUCAGUAGAAAAUAAAGCCAUUGAUCGUCCUUUCCAGG